Xyrichtys novacula (pearly razorfish) is the source of this 1385-nucleotide non-coding RNA. The record is from the annotation of a GenBank genome assembly. Lineage: Eukaryota; Metazoa; Chordata; Actinopteri; Labriformes; Labridae.
GACUGAGAAAACGGGCAGAGAUUUGGAGGUAUUUGUGCAUGCUCUAUAUUACAGUUGAAAAGUGUAUAACAGCUUUCCAAUGCUGUUACUUGUGGCGAACACCUUUUUGCUUGAGUUGAUGCGUGCCCGCAGGUGGAAUAAUGUCACAUGUCACACACAUUUUCUGUUGUUUUGAUUUAUUUACUCAUUCAUCAUUUUAUGUGCGCACCUCUCCUAAUCAACCCACCCAUUAAAUAGACGGGCACAAUAGCACCAUCUGCUGGCACAAAAAAUACAUAACAAUAAACUGCAAAACCCCAAUCUGGCUCCUACAAAGUGUAUGUGACAAGAUGAUUAACGUUUGCUUUUGUUAAAUCAGGGCUUCCCCAGCCAGGACUUCGGCUCAGACUGUGGCAUAUUCAUGUUGAUGGUAGGUCAUAACGAGCUGUAAUGCACAAAUAUUGUAUCUAGAAUAACUUUCCAACAUGGACUUUUUUAAAGUUAUCUCACAUGUUGUCUCAUAAUUUUUUUUUUAAAGUCUGCCAUGUACAUCGUUAUGGAGUCACAGUUCGACUACUCAGUUGUAAGUACUUUUCAACACGCAGUGUCAUCCUCAAGAUUGUAUUUUGUAUUGUGCACUAAAAUGAAAUACAAACAACAAUUUCAGCAUGACAUGCCUGUUUGGCGGCGAUGGUGGUGCCUGUUGCUCCUGGAGAACAAUUCUUUGAACAGGUAGACAGUUUAAGUAAACUAGAUGUCCUAAUUAACUGGAAGACAAUCAAUAUAUUGUACUUAAAGACAUAUUGUCAUUACAGUUGUGGGAAAAUCUUCGCCCACUGGACCAAAGGAUGUCAAGAGCUCAUUGCUGGAAAGCAUACUCCGGUCUUCAGUCUAAAGAGGAAGGCAGAGCAGCAGGACAUAGAGGUUAGAAAAUUGCCUUGUAAAAACAGUAUUAUCUCAGUGGGAGUCCUUCAAAAUGCACACAGUUGUAUGGAUCAACAUUGUCUCGAUGUAUUUGGUAAUUGAUGUUACUUUUCAAAUUGCCUUGUCAAGGAAACCAUGACGCAGACGGUAUCGGAUGUCCAAAGAAUGUGCAUGGCAGAUUCAAUGCAAUUCUGUGUCUACCAGACAUCGAACAACACAGGAGAGAGGUGUGUUGCAGACUCAAUUUAAUAAAUGCAAUUAUCGGGGCCUAUUCAGUGAUUUUCCAUGAAGUGACCACUUUUACAUAUAGUUUAAAUGCACGAAUCAUGCAGGAAAAUUAUUUAUACAUUCAAAUGUGCUGCAGAGGUAUAAUCAAUUGGACAGCGUGUUUGUUUGAUAUUAUGUUUGUCUCUCAUUUGAUCAGAUUGCUUUACCCUGAGGUAAACGUCAUAAAAUGGGUCCAGUGCAAGACGUGCAGGGGC